CCUACGGGUGGCAGCAGUGGGGAAUAUUGCGCAAUGGGCGAAAGCCUGAUGCAGCGACGCCGCGUGAGGGAUGAAGUUCUUCGGAUCGUAAACCUCUGUCAGCAGGGAAGAACGGUCACCGUGCUAAUCAGCAGUGAAUUGACGGCACCUGCACAGGAAGCACCGGCUAACUACGUGCCAGCAGCCGCGGUAAUACGGAGGGUGCUAGCGUUAAUCGGAAUUACUGGGCGGAAAGCGCUCGUAGGCGGUAUGUCAAGUCAAGGGUGAAAUCCCCGCGCUCAACGUGGGAACUGCCUUUGAAACUGGCAGACUGGAGUGUGUGAGAGGAUAGUGGAAUUCCAGGUGUAGGAGUGAAAUCCGUAGAUAUCAGGAGGAACAUCAGUGGCGAAGGCGACUAUCUGGCACAUAACUGACGCUGAGGAGCGAAAGCGUGGGGAGCAAACAGGAUUAGAUACCCUGGUAGUC
This 465-nucleotide ribosomal RNA is filed under the name uncultured bacterium. RNAcentral's name for it is "partial 16S ribosomal RNA". It matches the Rfam family "Bacterial small subunit ribosomal RNA", at positions 338 to 795 of the family's 1533-position model. The record is from RNAcentral.